CGGAAUAUACUUCGAGCCGAUACUCCUGAGUUUGUCCCCUCACUGGCCCAUAAACCUUGUGAGGAACACUUGGGAAUAAUGCAAAAACGUUCUGUGGAAUGGAAGGGAGUGUGCCUUACAUCUGGUGACCUCAAAGCAGGCCACAUAAAUCCAACAUCUGCACCAUCAGUUGCUCUAUUUGAAGAAGCACCCAUCCUACGAGAGUCCUUUGAAGGUUCAUUUGAUCCGGUGCGACAUCAACGGCGGCAAAGAAAUGUCCGUCGAUCUUGGAUUGAUCUUCCAGCUGCCGUAGAUCAAGAGGCGGCGAGCCGACACCGUUCUCAUGUGAGCAAGUCCGUCAAGGGGAGAUGGAAAAACACUCGUCCAAAGAUCCAAGUUCGGAAUCCAGAUGACUCAUAUGUUGUUCUUCCCGGUGCAUCCACAUCACAAAAUGAUGAGGGUGGUGCCAUCAUGCGACUGGCGGAGGCCCUGGCCCAACGGCCUGAGUACCAAGAAUUCAUUCAGCAACAUCAUGAACAUCAAGAGUAUGUGAACCAAGCUGCUCAUGUCCGUUCAAGAAGGGCGGCGUACAAAGAAAGAGAAAGGGCAGUACGGGCAAGGUCUGGGUCAAGCAGAGUCCAAGGGGCAGAACACGCUCCAUCAGAUGAGGACAGUCAGGCUAAAACCAAGAAUAAAUCAUUCGAGGUGUUCCAAGCAAUGCCAGUUGGUGUCAGGGUGGCGUCAGACAAGACCAGCGAAACAUCCUCCACAUCAACACAUUUCAAGAGGAAGAAGGCACACAAAACUGUCAUAGAAGGUCCUCGUCGUAGUACACGAAGCCAAAAGGGUUCAGAUUAUGAAGAACUUGGGUCCAGCUGUGGUGGGUCUUAUAAUCCCCUAUCGGACAGUACCCCAUGUCCUUCUAAAAAUGAGAUAGAACUCCAGCAUGGUGCAGAGCAU
RNAcentral lists this ribosomal RNA (939 nucleotides) under Triticum aestivum (bread wheat). Its description in RNAcentral is "partial small subunit ribosomal RNA". The record is from RNAcentral. Lineage: Eukaryota; Viridiplantae; Streptophyta; Magnoliopsida; Poales; Poaceae.